RNAcentral lists this ribosomal RNA (433 nucleotides) under uncultured bacterium. RNAcentral describes it as "partial 16S ribosomal RNA". It matches the Rfam family "Bacterial small subunit ribosomal RNA", at positions 29 to 507 of the family's 1533-position model. The record is from RNAcentral.
AACGAACGCUGGCGGCAUGCCUAACACAUGCAAGUCGAACGAUCCCUUCGGGGCUAGUGGCGCACGGGUGCGUAACGCGUGGGAACCUGCCCUUAGGUUCGGAAUAACUCAGCGAAAUUUGUGCUAAUACCGGAUAAUGUCUUCGGACCAAAGAUUUAUCGCCUUUGGAUGGGCCCGCGUUGGAUUAGCUAGUUGGUGGGGUAAAGGCCUACCAAGGCGACGAUCCAUAGCUGGUCUGAGAGGAUGAUCAGCCACACUGGGACUGAGACACGGCCCAGACUCCUACGGGAGGCAGCAGUGGGGAAUAUUGGACAAUGGGCGAAAGCCUGAUCCAGCAAUGCCGCGUGAGUGAUGAAGGCCUUAGGGUUGUAAAGCUCUUUUACCCGGGAUGAUAAUGACAGUACCGGGAGAAUAAGCCCCGGCUAACUCCGUG